AGCUCUGUAAGCGUAUACCCAAGUUGUUGCAGUUAAAACGCUCGUAGUCGGAACUUGGCGGGCGAUCUGGGGCGUCUUCACGGACGGGUUCAGGUUGGCCGCCUUUGUGGAGGGGGGCCCGGCGGGGCUUCAUUGCGUCGCCGUUUUGGUCGCUGCCACCGUUUACUGUGAAAAAAUUAGAGUGUUCAAAGCGGGCGUUUGCCAUGAAUACCUUUAGCAUGGAAUAAUAGAAUAGGACCUGUUUUCCUAUUUUGUUGGUUUGUGAGGAACGGGUAAUGAUUAAGAGGGACGGUUGGGGGCAUUUGUAUUCCGGCGUCAGAGGUGAAAUUCUUGGAUUGUCGGAAGACAAACGGCUGCGAAAGCGUCUGCCAAGGACGUUUUCA
This 383-nucleotide ribosomal RNA is filed under the name uncultured eukaryote. Its description in RNAcentral is "SSU rRNA". It matches the Rfam family "Eukaryotic small subunit ribosomal RNA", at positions 587 to 972 of the family's 1831-position model. The record is from RNAcentral.